GGGACUGUGAACCCUACAAGAUGACAAAGAAUUUAAGCCCAAGUCACCAGCACCUGUGAUCCCCCUCUCCUCAAGCUUUAUGUGUGUAUUGAUGAUGAACAGUGACAUCAGAACAGUGAACAAGUGGCUCUCCCAUUAUUUCCCUUACCUCUGACUGCUGAAAGAUCCAAUUCUCAAAGAGUUAUAGAGCUCUUGCAUAGAGAAAAAGAGCUUCAGAAAGAAAAAAGAAUAAAGCUGACUCCUACUCCAUCUGCCUAGCAGAAAACAGAAGCAGCCUCAGAUGACAACUUGGAUAAUUUUCCAGUUAACAGAUCAUGGUUCCAGCUGUCCUUGAAGUACAUGUGAAAUCAGACAUUGAUGUUAAUAGAAGCUCUGCUGGACCCUGAGUAACUGAAAUAAUGCAGAAAGCUACAGUCCUCACCGUGAAUAUCGCCUAAAAGUAAGUGACCUGGACAACAUUUCUAUGGAGUGGACACUGUACUGACUUUGCAGUAAAAUGAGGUGAUGGUAGCAAGUCUAGUCUAGUCAUGUCUGGUGCAGCAUAGCUCUUGCCAGUAGUUUCUCACAGGUUGAGUAUUUGUGCUCCUACAAAGGAAUGAAAUGUUCCUUU
RNAcentral lists this long non-coding RNA (610 nucleotides) under Zonotrichia albicollis (white-throated sparrow). RNAcentral's name for it is "lncRNA (ENSZALG00000007882.1)". Lineage: Eukaryota; Metazoa; Chordata; Aves; Passeriformes; Passerellidae. The record is from RNAcentral.